CGGGUUUAUGGAUUGGAUUCAGUCAGCCUCACGACAUAAUCAGAGUGAGGCUUUGGUUACCGGCAAACGCUUCUCCAAAGGCGACCCUCUCGAGUUUCCGGCUGUUUCCGUCAUUGAAGUAGCCUUUCGUCGCCCUACCAAAGGAAAGAAGUCACUAUCAAACAGCUCGCCCUAUUGAAGUACCAAAGGUGCGCUCAGCCCGGUGACUAGGAAAUGGGUUUGCCCUUGAAUUGAAGUGAUGAGGUCGGAAAGAGGGAAGUAGAUUCUCCAAAGGCGACCUUCUCGAGUUUUCGGCUCUUUGCGUCGUUGAGGUAGCCUUUCGUCGCCCUACCAAACAAAAUCUGUCACUAUCAAACAGCUCGUCCUAUUAAGUACCAUAGGUACGCUCAGUCCGGUGACUAGGAAAUGGGUUUGCCCUUGAAUUGAAGUGAUGAGGUCGGAAAGAGGGAAGUAGGGCUCCUAUUGACUAAAGGUUGGUUCUUCGCUUUCCUUUAGAAUGAAAGUUGCUAUGAAGCCCCUACUACUUACUUUGUUUGAUUCAAAAGGCGAACAGCCCCCCCA
Molecule: long non-coding RNA, 561 nt
Filed under: Nicotiana benthamiana
Lineage: Eukaryota; Viridiplantae; Streptophyta; Magnoliopsida; Solanales; Solanaceae
Description: long non-coding RNA (NBEN_LNC018836)
Source: RNAcentral